CUUUUCUUCGUCCUCUUCCCUUUCUUCAACAAUGACUGCCUCUUCUUAACACACCAACCCCUCAGAGCAAGAUGCUUCUGCUAACACUGGAAGAAGCACACCACUACCAACACCAAUCGUGUCCUCAACGAGGAUAAAUCAAGGCCUUGAGCUACUCUCCGUUCUUGGGCAUGUAAAGGAAUGCAAGAAAGUAUGGGAGACCCAGUUUCAAUUUUCAGUUGUUCCCAUCAAGAUUUCUCAUCAAGGGGAAAAUGAAGACUGGGACGAUGAUGAUCAGGGGUCUUCGAAGAAGACCUCUCGAAAGUGAAAAACUUCCUCUUAGAGCAGCACAAGACAACAGGGAUCGAAAAAGACCAGUAAAACCAAGAUUGAUGAUCAAUUAGGCUUCCACCAAAACCACCAAAAUUACAACAACCAUCCAAGUCUACCACCUCCAAACCAUUGAAGAUUGAUAUCUCAAAGGGAUUGGAUGAUUUUGAUAAGGAUGUGCCUGUUAGUUCCUCUUUCAAAGCUACUUCUGCUGCUACCCCAAAGCAAAAGGUUGACAAAAUAGUGGAUCUUUCAUCAUCUCAGGAUUCCUCUCAAAGCGAUGAUAAUGGGAAAAUCAAGAUACCUCUGCUGUCAGUUCGAGUGCCAAGAGUGUAAAUAAAGAAACAAUUGAUAUACCAGUUUUGAUGAUGGAUGCUCAUAAUGCUAGAGAAGCUGAAGAUCUAGAAGAUCAAGAUGUUCCAAGCCAUAAUGCUUCUUCUCCCUCAAGGCAACAUCAAUUCCAGAGCCCAUAAUCGAAAAGAAUGCCAUUGAGGUGGAUUCUACACUUGAUGAUCUUCUGAACAUUGAAACUGAACAUAACCCUCUAACUGUAGAAGAACAAGUUAGGGUCGAAGCUGUUAUUGAUACCUCUGCUCCCAUGCUAGUUGUUGAGACAAGUGAGCCCAUACUUGAACAAUGUAAUAACAAGGAUCCCUUAUUUUCUUCAACUUGUUUUGACUAAUGUUUUGAGGAAUUGAAUACAUACAUGAUGACCUGUUGAACAUUUGCCAAUUUCGAUGGUAGACAUGUUGGUGUUUUGAGGAAUUAAGUGAUUGUGUAUCAAUUCCCCGAAAUUGGCAGUCAACGGUGUAUAAAUUUACAAUACUAACAAUUGAAUUACAUGAUUUCAAAAUGUGUACAAAGGCAUUCGUAUAUA
Molecule: long non-coding RNA, 1186 nt
Organism: Glycine soja
Lineage: Eukaryota; Viridiplantae; Streptophyta; Magnoliopsida; Fabales; Fabaceae
Exons: 7
Source: RefSeq, a predicted model, not a curated record